AAAAUGAAACUAGCUUCAGUCACAUAUAACAAAAUAUCUUUUUACAUACAUGCACUUCCAAAUCUAAAGAAACUUUUGAACCUUAUCAUUAUUCCAUAUCCUAAGCAAAGCAUAACGCUUUUUAAUUUAGAUAAAUAUGGUUUUUCCUAUCCUUGUGGUGGAAAGGUCAAAAGCCUUAUCCAUACAAUCACAAGAAGAAAACCAGGAGAGGUAAUUAAUUAACUCAGAGGAUGGAGCAGCUAUUAGGGUAUGGAUCAUAAACUACGUGAUGGUACAUAGGAGAAUGAUAGGUGCCACACAUGGGACAAGGUGGAGGAUAGUUUUCAUUUGUCUCGGUUUCAUCUUCCUCUUCUCCUCCAUCUUGGCCACCCUCAUCUUUUUCUUCUUUCACUUCUUCCACACUUAAUAACGUUGCAUAACUGAACUUCUUUCUCAUCCGGUUGGUUAAGAAAACAGCAUCGAUUCCUUCUCCAGUUACCACCAAUUGAUCACUGGUUUCGCCUUCAAAUGCUAAUGAU
RNAcentral lists this long non-coding RNA (518 nucleotides) under Glycine max (soybean). RNAcentral describes it as "long non-coding RNA (GMAX_LNC003111)". Lineage: Eukaryota; Viridiplantae; Streptophyta; Magnoliopsida; Fabales; Fabaceae. The record is from RNAcentral.